Long non-coding RNA from Lycium ferocissimum, 587 nucleotides. RefSeq lists it as uncharacterized. Lineage: Eukaryota; Viridiplantae; Streptophyta; Magnoliopsida; Solanales; Solanaceae. The record is from RefSeq and is a predicted model, not a curated record. The transcript has 2 exons.
UACUUUUCGCAUUUUGACUAAGGUCAAAAUUCCUAAUCUUCAGACAACUUCGUAGACUCCGAAAACUCAUUUGCUUCAUUUUUCUUCUUCGUUUCAUUUUCUUCUCUUUCAUUCAUUCUAUCUUCUCCAUUUCUUUGUUGAAGUGUUUGUUUCUCCAAUAUCCCCCCUAAAGUUGGAGGGGAGCGAAAUGACGCCCAAAUUGCCUAAAGCAAAUCUGUACGACACUCCUGGGAGUGGUUUGGUAAAGAAAUCAGCAAGUUGAGCAGCCAAAGGGAUAAAAGUAUGUGAGAUGAGGCUAGAAAGGAAUUGUUGCUUUACAAAAUGGCAAUCCAAUUCCACAUGAUUAGUACGUUCGUGGAAGACUGGAUUCUCAGCGAUAUGAAUUGCUGCCUGAGUAUCGGAGUGAACAGGGACAGGUAGUGGCGAUGGGACAGAGAGAUCAGUGAGAAAGUGAGUCAAGCAAAAAACCGGUGAACCUUCUCAACUGAUGAAGAAACCACGAACGGAAGGACGAGAGUCGGGGCAAGAAGCCCAGUCAGAAUCAUAAAAAGCUAAAAGUGAAAGAGAGGGAUUGGAUGACAUUAAAA